GUUGGUGGUGAUAGCGCUAGGGUCACGCCCGGUCCCAUUUCGAACCCGGUAGCUAAGCUUAGCCGCGCCGAUGGUACUGCAUCCGGGAGGAUGUGGGAGAGUAGGUUACUGCCAACA
Molecule: ribosomal RNA, 117 nt
Filed under: Corynebacterium sp.
Lineage: Bacteria; Bacillati; Actinomycetota; Actinomycetes; Mycobacteriales; Corynebacteriaceae
Source: RNAcentral